GACGAACGCUGGCGGCGUGCUUAACACAUGCAAGUCGAACGAUGAAACCUAGCUUGCUAGGUCGAUUGGUGGCGAACGGGUGAGUAACACGUGACUAACCUGCCCCUUUCUCUGGGAUAACGCUCCGAAAGGAGUGCUAAUACCGGAUACUCACACCGAGGCACAUGCCUUGGUGUGGAAAGUUUUUAGGAAAGGGAUGGAGUCGCGGCCUAGCAGCUUGUUGGUGAGGUAACGGCUCACCAAGGCGACGACGGGUAGCCGGCCUGAGAGGGCGACCGGCCACACUGGGACUGAGACACGGCCCAGACUCCUACGGGAGGCAGCAGUGGGGAAUAUUGCACAAUGGGCGCAAGCCUGAUGCAGCGACGCCGCGUGAGGGAUGAAGGUCUUCGGAUUGUAAACCUCUUUCAGUAGGGACGAAGCGAAAGUGACGGUACCUAAAGAAGAAGCACCGGCUAACUACGUGCCAGCAGCCGCCGUAA
Molecule: ribosomal RNA, 482 nt
Filed under: uncultured bacterium
Lineage: Bacteria
Description: partial 16S ribosomal RNA
Rfam family: Bacterial small subunit ribosomal RNA
Source: RNAcentral